AACGCACAUUGCGCUUCCUGGCAUUCCGGGGAGCAUGCCUGUUUCAGAAUCAUUAAAACCUCUCACCCACAAUUGUGUUUUUACAAAUGCCAAUUGUACGGGCGGAUUUUGAGUGUUUUCGCAGCUAUUAACUUAGUUUUGAAUCACUUUAAUUAUAUAGUGUGCAGCCAUCGCUUUCACUCAUUUUUAAAAUGUUUGGUGAAUGGUUCCCAAGUGCAAUAAAGACUAACAAUCUCUUAUAACUCUUGAGUACCGCAAAGUUCUCCAAGCGCAAAAGUUUUGAAAACUGAGAUCAAUGAAAAUGAUAGUUGUUACCCACAUUAAUUAUACGAUUUGCUUACCUUUGGGUAAUCACUUCGAAACUUUGAUCUGAAAUCAAGCAAGAAAACCCGCUGAACUUAA
This 402-nucleotide unclassified non-coding RNA is filed under the name uncultured fungus. RNAcentral's name for it is "sequence contains ITS2". Lineage: Eukaryota; Fungi. The record is from RNAcentral.